UGGGGAUUAUUGCACAAUGGAGGGAACUCUGAUGCAGCGACGCCGCGUGAACGAAGAAGGCUUUCGAGUCGUAAAGUUCUUUUAUAUGGGAAGAUAAUGACGGUACCAUAAGAAAAAGCCCCGGCUAACUACGUGCCAGCAGCCGCGGUAAUACGUAGGGGGCUAGCGUUGUCCGGAAUCACUGGGCGUAAAGGGUUCGCAGGCGGAAAUGCAAGUCAGGUGUAAAAGGCAGUAGCUUAACUACUGUAAGCAUUUGAAACUGCAUAUCUUGGGAAGAGUAGAGGUAAGUGGGAUUUUUAGUGUGGCGGUGAAAUGCGUAGAAAAUAAAAAGAAUACCGGUGGCGAAGGCGACUUGCUGGGGUCAUUCUGACGCUGAGGAACGAAAGCGUGGGUAGCAAACAGG
RNAcentral lists this ribosomal RNA (403 nucleotides) under Verrucomicrobiota bacterium. RNAcentral describes it as "Verrucomicrobia bacterium partial 16S ribosomal RNA". It matches the Rfam family "Bacterial small subunit ribosomal RNA", at positions 355 to 776 of the family's 1533-position model. The record is from RNAcentral. Lineage: Bacteria; Pseudomonadati; Verrucomicrobiota.